AGGCCCGUAGCUCAGUCUGGUUAGAGCGCUUCCUUGACACGGAAGAGGUCGAUGGUUCGAGUCCAUUCGGGCCUA
RNAcentral lists this transfer RNA (75 nucleotides) under Candidatus Koribacter versatilis Ellin345. It matches the Rfam family "tRNA". From Rfam's summary of the family: Transfer RNA (tRNA) molecules are approximately 80 nucleotides in length. Their secondary structure includes four short double-helical elements and three loops (D, anti-codon, and T loops). Lineage: Bacteria; Pseudomonadati; Acidobacteriota; Terriglobia; Terriglobales; Candidatus Korobacteraceae. The record is from Rfam by way of RNAcentral.